Gasterosteus aculeatus aculeatus (three-spined stickleback) is the source of this 4605-nucleotide long non-coding RNA. NCBI's taxonomy places the organism in Eukaryota, Metazoa, Chordata, Actinopteri, Perciformes, Gasterosteidae. The record is from Ensembl.
CCCCCCCCACCCCUCUCACUCCAUCCCUUCCCUCCUGUCCUCAUAUUGGCGUGCAUGAAAGGGCUCGACUGCUCGUGGCCAGAGCAGUGGAGGAUCACUUCUAAGUGGUGGCUAAUAGGGUGGGGGUGGAGGGGGCUUCAAAAAAGACGUGAAAAAGUAGCCAUACUCCCAGAAUCCAAAAAUAAGGAGAGAGAAAAGAAUAGGGGCCACGCUUUUUUACAUUUUAUUUUUCUACAAGUGCAUUUUGUGUAUUUAUUCCCAGACUGCGGUAAAGAUAACCUGUGCGCUAUGAAUGUAAAUCGCUUUUACUUUUCUAUGGCUAGCAACAGCCCCACUCUAGUGCCUUUUUCUGCUACCUGCAGUGUGAUGGGGGGUGUGCACUCUGUUAGCCAUGUUACACAGAUUGAAAUACCCCCACCCCACAAUACACCCCUUGAGGAAACAAGUGUUAUACAGGUGUUAUAAACAGAUGCCUGAAUAUCCAGUAUUGUCUUAAUAGCUUCCAUCCCUGCUUCUCUUUUUCCAGUGUCUCUGUAUGACGUUGUUAUCGGUGGCAUUCUUAUUAAUUAACCCCUCUAGAAGUUUUAAGACCACGAUUUGACUCCUAUGGUGGCCAUUUUUUUAAUGUUCCUUCAUUCUGAGAUGAGUCUGAGUGUUUUUAAGCGGAUGCGUCAGGUUGCUUUGGCUGUGUUGUGUGUUUUGUGAGCUGUUUGUUGUUGAAUAGCUCCACCAUCACGCGGUGUGAAGCAUUUGAUACCACGUAACCAGGCGCUUGAAGAGCAUCAACAAAGGGCAAGUAGGCAGACAAAUGAGCUGAAGGAAACCCAGCCGAUUAUCUCAACUGUAUCUUCCAGGGGGCCUGCAUCAGGAGCCAGAUCAGAGCGUUUCAUACGCCACUCAAUCUGACCGAUCCCACUAAGCCGGCUUGCGUCAAUCCGUUCACAGCACUGAACCUGACCCCUCACUUUCAAGAACCACGUCAAAACCUUUUAAGCAAUUACUAUUAAUGAGCACAAAGCAGCAUGUAAACUCACUUAGCUUUACAUGCUAACUAUAUCAGAACGUUACUAUAUUUUGUUUACUCUUUCAACUUCUAAUCUUUUAGAUUCCCCCAAUGCUUUCAGCAUGACACACAAAGCAAGGUGGCCAGUUAUUACUGUUGAUUAACAUUUACAGUUGCUUGUAUUUUAAAUUAUUGAAUAGAUCCAAAAAAAGUUUUCUUUUUUUCGUUAAGGAUCCAGUAAACAACUCCAAAGAAGAUUGAGGGACUUCAACACAGUGUUUCUAUUGAGGUCAAAGUGAGGACCAUGACCAAGUAUAGUUGCUAUGGUUACAUGUAAUCUGAUAUACCUCAGGAGCAAUUAAUUUGCCUGCAAUUAAACUGGCUGGAUCUUUGUUGAAGAUGUCACAUACUUUUACUUUAAGAUGUUUCCUCUAUCUCCAUGCAGAAGAAACGGUGUCAUUUAAAAGUUAGUUUGUUUAACUUUGUUUUGAUGUUGUUUUGUUUUCAACUCCAUGAACGUUUUUACUUCAGCACUGACAUUUCCUCAGAGAGCUCAAAUGUUUUAUGUUGUUAUGCCCCUUUUAAUGUAAACAAACUCCAACCUACUUUGGUUCGUUGUGUGUGAACGGAACCACGAGUCCGCCUGGUGAGACCGGCUUCCCGGAUCACCAGUGUUGUGAUGCAGGAAAACCCCAAAGAAAGCCAGAAUGAGGUGAACUUGCAUCUUGAUUCAGGCCCCUGUUGUGUUAGUUCCUGUGGCCCCUUUAGGCUUUACACACACACACACACACACACACACACACACACACACACACACACACACACACACACACACACACACACACACACACACACACACACACACACACACACACACAGCAGCUCACUGUGGUAUGAACCUUCCAUGAGCAAUUCCCUCCCUCCUUUUUUUUCUUCUUUUCUCUUCCAGCCAACGGGUUUUUUUUAUUCUGACGCCUCUAUAGCUUUAAUACUUCUUUCUUCUUCUGUUGCCUGGCUCAGCGACACGAACACACUCCCCCUUACUGUAAACGCUGUUUGAGCAUGGAAACUGUUUCUCGAAAAGAAAAAAUGGAUUCCUGCCGCCUUAUGUGCCCUGCAGUAACCCCUCCCCCUCCCUCCUGCCCGCACUUCUCCCCCCGUCCCACCUCGUUCUCUCAAGGUGUGCCUCCCUCAACCCAACUUGAGUACCGAGAACGAACUUUGCAUCUCGUGCGAGUGACGUUUGUGCAUCUGCGAGUGUGUUUGUCAGCGACAGGAGAAAUUUUAAAAACCGACCUUCCUGUCCCUCUUCUGUGCAUCGAUGUGGGAACUUUUAAAUCCUAGUUCAUGAACUUUGACCUUUGACCAGGCACUCAUUCAGUCCCUUGUGAUGGUUGAGAAAGGGAGGUUACGUGGGGACUCGAGAGGAGCCCUACUGUCUACACACAGUCAAUGUUUUAUUUAUGGACCUCUGCACUUUUGGCUGUGAUGACUUCAGUACUUAAGUAGUUACCUGAACUGUAUUUUUAAGGAUUUUAUACAAUAUUUACAUGCAAUACGAUAUGAAUUGAUUUUUUUUUUUUUUUUUUGCCAACCUUUUUUUUAUGUCACCUUGUUUUGUUUUCUUAUUUAAUUGUCAUUAUUUUGGCAUGAUUUGUCACUAUUAUUCACAAAACAAACAUUGCUAGGUAUAAAACAUGGAUGGGGAUGUUCCCACAAUGUUUUGUUUUUUCUGAUGACAGCUGAACACCAAGAAGAAGCAGGUGUAGGAAAAUGUUUGCUGGAUGAGCUAAACUUGAGAACGAGUCAAUUUGUUUCAGGGAACUAAACUCUGCUUUUUUUCUGUAUCCUGUCCAGAGGGGAUUUGAGUCUUUGUUUUCUACUCUUUCAUAGACGUCUUUUCCCAAACAAAAAAUGGGCCCAACAUUUUAAGUUAUUUUAACUUCAGCCUGAAGAAAUGCAUCAUAGGAAACAAAGGAGUUGGCUGGAGCUGUUCUCAGCACUGCUGCUACCGGAAGUAAAAAGGCCAUUUCUUCCCACAUACAGUGUUGAAUUACUCAUAGUUCAAGCACUUUUGCAGCUUGAAUCUACUUGAAACGCUUCCGUUUUAAUCAUCAAGUCCAAAUGAUUUAAAUACCGCUUUAAACAAACAUUAGAAUUACAACUCUGCGAGGCGAGAAACUUCCAAUCAUAAAGUUCUAUCCUAUGUGGCUAAACACGGGCAGAAACUCAUGCUGUUGGGACUGCUGAUUGUAUAAUCUCUUCAAUCGGUUCUUUUUUGGGUCCCUUUAGGAGCAAUUCUGCCAAUGUGAUGCUGCGUUCUGUAAAAAUGAAAACUGGCCACCUAUUUAACGGGGAACUUGAAUGAGUGUUGAUGGUACAUGUAAUCCGUUUGUUUUGUAUUGUUCCAGAAUGCGGAUCCCUUCCGGCGGGGUGCCGUGCCGGCUGUGCCUACGUGUACCAAUCGGUCUUCGCUCAUCGCACACUCCAAAAACUUAAAAACUCACCAGAUCCACGUUCGUCCGAACAGUGUUCCAACAAUCAUCAACGCUCAUCGAAAACAAAUCCUCAAGCCACAGAAUAAGAUGUGAGAAUAUGCCCGUCCUGUAGCUGCUCUUCCCCUCUGCCUUGCCAGCGGCUCAUUGCGACUCCAACAAAAAGAUUUUAUCUCAUCAAUAAUGUCUCCACAGCUCCGUUCUCUCCAACGACGUCACUGUCACAUCACUGGAUGCAGGAACAACACAUUUUUCAAAGAGAACAUCGGCAAGAGCUGCAGGCCUUUUUUUAUUUUUUGUUGAAUUUUUUAUUUUUUAACUCCACUGUGCCUCGAUGUGGCUCCUUCUCCAUUGCAACGACUGCUGAGGCUUAUGGGUAUUGUAGUACUCCCAGCCGCCUGCCAACCAAAAUGACAGAUAAAACACAAUUUCUCAUAAACCUGGGUUGAUAAGUUAGAAACUGGGGGCCCUAAUGUAAACCACUGUAACGGUUACGUUUUCUGUACGGGGCCCUUUUGUAAUCUAAUGUGGAGCAACAUUGAACACCGGAAAAAAAAGUGCAAAUGGGUGUAAGGAUUGCAGAGGAAUCCCCCCUGUCCCAUUUACUUUGCAACCCGUUGCUGCUUUGUUGUGUGAAACAUUUCAGCUGAGACUAUAUUAUAUAUAAUAUGUGUAUAAUACAGCAAAGGUAGAAUAUCUACUGUGUGGAUCUUUAGAGGAUGAGGAAAAAAAGCUAAAACAAAGCAGGUGGUUGCAAAUAUGUGUUGGGGGGGUGCGUGCAGACGGGAUGUAUCCUGUGUCAGUGGUCGUCAUAAUGUGUCUGUGACAAGGAUACAGGGAUGCCUGUAUUUAAAAAGGUUUGAUUCUUUUUUUUUGAAAAUGCGGGAGAAAUGUCUGAAAUGUGUUUUCUUAUAUGUGGUCCAAGAAGAACAAACUGGAUGUGCUGAACAAUUUGGUAUUUUUUGAAGAAAAGAAAACUUUGCAUUACAAUGCCACCAUGUGGCCAUAAUGAUGCAAGUUUUUAACGAGGACAAAACAUUGUUAUUUUACUGUUUAUUUUUUAUUUCUAAAUCAUAUUAUUAAUAAAGUCAUUAAGUACUGUUGUCC